CCAGCCCGAAAUAUGAGAAAAAAAUUAUUAGAAAUUCCGCGGGCGGUGUAAAGGCGGCGGACGGGCCGGAGGGAGGAUGUUAAAGCCCCGCGGUUGCCUCUCAGUGCUGCCUUGGUGGUAUUGGGCACCCAGAAUGCUUCAGUCUGUAAUGAUCUAUUAAUAAGGUGGCCUAACUAGAGUUUGCAGCAGGGUCUCAGGUAGGUGGUUUUUAUCAUUAUAUGGCAUGAUUUUCAAAGUGAUCAGUUAUUCCAUAUCCAUACUUAUGUGCACUACAAUAGUAAAAACUUUGAAAAGCAUGCCACAUAAUAAGCAUGCCAGCUAGGCUCUUCGGGCUUGCCAGUGUGCACUGGUUUACAAGAUGUCGGUAAAAUCUAUGCUCUGUAAUCAGCCAAGAACAACCGUCUUCCUUCAGAAUAGAAAGCUUCAAUAAAGUUUGGGUUUUUUCCUCCUCUUGGAGACCACAGAUGAGCUCACAAGCUCUUGAUCUUCUGAAUAUCACUGAAUGGUAAACUACCCCAUGGAACCACUGUGUUCAUGUGCUGAGAGGAUCUUAACUGUGGUCAGAUCGAGGUCUGUACCCAGAGUACAGAGCCCAGUGUGACCAGAGCAACUUCCAACCUUUGCUGGAAAGAGGACACACAAAAGCACCUAGAGUUCCAAUGGUAGUUAUAACUCAGUGGCACAGAAUCAAGGUUUAGUGAUAUUUGGAAACCCAAGCACACGUGGAUUUGAGCCAGGUAAGUCUGUCAGUGCAACCUCCAGCACAAGGCUGGAAUUUAGAGACCAGGACUCCAUAUUCUAGGGUAAGGAGACUGGAAACAGCAAAAGUGGUUACUCAGCAGACUCAAACCCCUAACCUGGUCAUCUAUGGUGGUCAGCCCCAACCCUCAGGAAACUAGGCCUUGGGCUGAGAUCUAAACAGGACCUUAGAAACAUGAAGAAAGCUUAACAAUUAAAUUAAAGGAACACAAAUUAGUCUUAAUAAGUACAUUCUAUAAAGAGUAAAAUCAAGUUAGC
Molecule: long non-coding RNA, 1017 nt
Organism: Rattus norvegicus (Norway rat)
Lineage: Eukaryota; Metazoa; Chordata; Mammalia; Rodentia; Muridae
Source: Ensembl